UGCCAGCAGCCGCGGUAAUACGGAGGGGGUUAGCGUUGUUCGGAAUUACUGGGCGUAAAGGGCACGUAGGCUGUCUGCUCAGUCGGGUGUGAAAGCCCCCGGCCCAACCGGGGAACUGCAUUCGAUACUGGCAGACUAGAGGACAGGAGGGGUGAGUGGAACUCCAGGUGGAACGGUGAAAUGUGUAGAUAUCUGGAGGAACACCGGUGGCGAAAGCGGCUCACUGGCCUGUCUCUGACGCUGAGGCGCGAAGGCGUGGGUAGCGAACGGGAUUAGAUA
Molecule: ribosomal RNA, 279 nt
Filed under: uncultured bacterium
Lineage: Bacteria
Description: partial 16S ribosomal RNA
Rfam family: Bacterial small subunit ribosomal RNA
Source: RNAcentral